RNAcentral lists this ribosomal RNA (465 nucleotides) under uncultured bacterium. Its description in RNAcentral is "partial 16S ribosomal RNA". It matches the Rfam family "Bacterial small subunit ribosomal RNA", at positions 28 to 507 of the family's 1533-position model. The record is from RNAcentral.
GACGAACGCUGGCGGCGUGCUUAACACAUGCAAGUCGAACGGAAAGGCCCUGCUUGCGGGGUACUCGAGUGGCGAACGGGUGGGUAACACGUGGGUGAUCUGCCCUGCACUUCGGGAUAAGCUUGGGAAACUGGGUCUAAUACCGGCUAGGUACGCACUUUAGUGUGUGUGUUGGAGAGUUUUUUCGGUGUAGGAUUAGCUCGCAGCCUAUCAGCUUGUUGGUGGGGUAAUUGCCUACCAAGGCGGCGACGGGUAGGCGGCCUGAGAGGGUGUACGGCCACAUUGGGUCUGAGAGACGGCCCAGACUCCUACCGGAGGCAGCAGUGGGGAAUAUUGCACAAUGGGCGCAAGCCUGAUGCAGCGACGCCGGGUGGGGGAUGAAGGCCUUCGGGUUGUAAACGCCUUUCGCUAGGGACGAAGCUUUUUGUGACGGUACCUAGAUAAGAAGCACCGGCUAACUACGUG